UUGUUAUUUGUGAAAGUGUGUUUUUUGUUUUCCCCAAAUAUAAGCCUGUUGAAGAGAGUCAGAUUUGAGAGCAAAGGCAUUUUCCAGACUAAGCUGAGAUUUUCCUGGAUGGCAGGUUCAGUGACUCCAUGAGUUUUGCUUCCUCAGAACAUCCAAAGAACAUGAUAAGAUGUCAGAGAAAAUGACCUGUAGUAUCAGAGACUGGAUCCCCAGCCAGGAGUUCAGCUUCUUCCAAGAUAUAUGAAGCAACAUGUGUGGCUUGAAAAUAGCAGAAUCAAGAACCAUGUGGUUUGGGCCAAAGUCUAUCUCUGGGGUAACAGAGGACAGAUGACCAAUGAUGGGAGGGAUUCCCUGAUGCCUUGGAAGGAUAAAACCCUGGGACCUUGGCCCAAUCCCAGCAUCACAGAGGAAGCAAGGAGAGAGCCAGUAUUGUCUUAAAUUUCCUAUCAACUUGGCAAGAGGGGGUCCCUGAGUUGAAAUUAAGUAAACUUACAGAAAAAUUUUAAUGUGCUGUAUUUCUCACAUACCAAAGUUUGUUGCAUGAGAUUCUUAUCUUGUUUGUGUGCAGUUUGGAAAGUGGACAGUUUGGACAAUCCAGACAUCCUUUUGAGAUGGGAAACCAGCCAACCAAAGUUAAGAGGGAUGAAAAAGAGGACAAAUGCUUCCUGCUACAGAGACAUUAGUGUUAAGGCUUUGCCGUGUAAAGACUACAGUGUCCCCAGUACCCAAGGGGAAUUGGUUCCAGGAUCCCCAUGGAUACCAAAAUCCCAGGAUGCUCAAGUCCCCUAUGUAAAAUGGCCUAGUGCAUAUGUGCAUAUAACCUAUGCACAUCCUCCCAUAUACUUUAAUCAUCUCUAGAUCACAUGUAGUGUAUAAUACAAUGGAACUUUUUCUCUUUGAAAGUGUUUAAUUUCUUUUUGUUCUACCUUCUUAAGAAUAGAAAUUUUUUAAUAGUUAGAUAAAUUAAAAAUUUCCUUUUACCAACACGCUUAUUUCUCAAAGGAAUGAUUAAAUGGCCUUCAUUUUGGUUUAGGACAAGAGAGAGAAUUUUAUUAAAUUUAAAGCUGAGUUUGGUAGUGCAGAGCCUAGUAGACUGAGAAAAUUAAGGGUUCUGAAGCUGUCCUGGAGCUGUUACCACCACUCUGAGGGAAGAGUGACAGAUCACAUACUGUGUGGUGUUCUAAUCAUGAUGUAGCAGAAUUACAAGACAGAUCUGUCUCACUAUUAAACUGUUGGCAUUAAAGUUUUUUUCAUAUGUAAUUGUGAUUAUCCAGAAAGGAGUAUGGAUUACACAGAAUAAAUAGUUCCUAGAAGAGCCCAUUUAUAUGGAUCCUUAACUAAUAAGGCUGAUAGGAUUUUAAAGAAAUGGAUUUAUUCAACAAACACUGAGUACCUGCUCUGUGCCAGGUACUGCUCUGGGUAUUGAGGAUCAGGCGAUGAGAAAAAUGGAGUCUUUGCCUUUAAAAAGCUUAUAUUUUAGAACAGGGAGGAAAGAGAAACAAACAAAUAUACAUUUAGCAUAUCAGGAUAUGAGAUCUGCUAUGAAGAUAAGUGAGGCAAGGGGUGGAGAGUCCUGGAUGGUGCUGUUUAAAGAGGGUGGACAGGGAUGUUUUUUGAUAACUUUUGAUCCUAUACUGGAGGAAGAGGUGAGAAGGAGCCUUUUGAGUAACUGGGGGAAGAUCAAUUCAGAUAGAGGAAACAGCAAGUGUAAAGGCCCUGAGUUGGCUUGGGAACAGUUGAGUCGAGUGAGGUUGGAAUGGGCCAGGAGGGAGAAAGGCAGCCAGGAGCCAGAUUGGGAGGGACUUGUGAACCAUGUUGAGGACCUUGGAUUUAUUCUGAGUGAGAUGGAGCCAUCACAAGAUAUUGAGCAGCAGAGUGACAAAUCUAAUGUAGGCUUUUUAAGGAUUGUUUAUGGGGGCAUUGGGUCGGUCCAUUUGAUUCAGUUCUCAACUCUGGGUCCAUCCUGAUGUUUCCAUGGCUUCAGAAGCACUUAUGAGCCAUGGAUAGGUGAGUAAAGAUUGUCUCAGGCCCUUACCCUCCCCUUCUCUCACUCAGGAUCUCAAGGAUGUGUCCUGGGACUCUAUUCCUGCCACUUUGCUGUCAUCACUGGUUCUGAGACCUCUCUCCAGACUCAAGAUCCUGAAUCCAGAACACAGGUUAUAAGGAGGUGUCCCAAUUUCUGUCUACCAAUAAAUUGACUAUAGAAAAUAUUACAGAUACAAGGAUUUCCCCAUGUGCAAAUGCUUGGAAGUGAGAUUAGGUGGCAGUCAUGGUUCUCCAUUACUUCUUAUGGAGUCAGAGAGCCAGGAUGCAGGGAUCAGGUUUGAAAUGGCAGGCUGAGGAAUUAUGACUCUAUUUUGAGGGUACUGGGAGCCUUGGAAGAUUUGAUGUAGAAGAGGGGAGUGCUCUGAAUCAGGUCUUAAUAGACUUUCUGUGGCCCUAGAGCAGAGAACAGAGAGUAGGGGUGAGGGAGGCUACUGUAGUACUCUAGAUGGGUGUGGUAACAGGGGGACCAGGUUGGUGGCUGGAUCAGGGUAGUUAGUGGCUGUGGAUGGGGGUGGGGAGCAAAACAUAUGGCUUAUGGAUUUUUUUAAAAAAUAAGUUUUAUUGAGAGUUCCCGUUGUGGCGCAGUGGAAACAAAUCCGACUAGUAUCCAUGAGGAUGUGGGUUCGAUCCCUCCAGCCUUGAUCAGUGGGUCAGGGAUCUGGCAUUGCGUGAAAUGUGGUGUAGGUCUCAGAUAUGGCUCAGAUCCCCCGUUGAUGUGACUGUGGUGUAGGCUAGCAGCAGUAGCUCAGAUUUGACCCCUAACCUGGUAACCUCCAUAUGCUGAG
RNAcentral lists this long non-coding RNA (2831 nucleotides) under Sus scrofa (pig). RNAcentral's name for it is "lncRNA (ENSSSCG00045011287.1)". The record is from RNAcentral. Lineage: Eukaryota; Metazoa; Chordata; Mammalia; Artiodactyla; Suidae.